Molecule: ribosomal RNA, 474 nt
Filed under: Coleoptera sp. BAH_28365_A11
Lineage: Eukaryota; Metazoa; Arthropoda; Insecta; Coleoptera
Description: partial 16S ribosomal RNA
Rfam family: Bacterial large subunit ribosomal RNA
Source: RNAcentral
UGGCCGCAGUAUCUUGACUGUGCUAAGGUAGCAUAAUCAUUAGUUUCUUAAUUAGGAACUGGAAUGAAAGGUUUGAUGAGAAAAAAUCUGUCUCCUGAAAAAAUAAUGAAUUUUAUUAUUAAGUAAAAAAGCUUAAGUGAGUUUGAGGGACGAGAAGACCCUAUAGAGUUUUAUAAUUGAAAGUUUAAUUAAAUUUGGUUUAUUAAUAAUUUUUAUAUUUUUAAUUAUUUGGUUGGGGUGACUGAAAAAUUGAUUAAACUUUUUUUAAAUUAUACAUUAAUGUAUGGGUAUGAAUGAUCCUGUAACACUGAUUAAAAGAAAAAAUUACCUUAGGGAUAACAGCGUAAUCUCUUUUUAGAGUUCAAAUUGAGAGAGGGGGUUGCGACCUCGAUGUUGGAUUAAAAUUAACUGCAGGUGCAGAAGCUUGAAAGUUUAGUCUGUUCGACUAAUAAAAUUUUACGUGAUCUGAGUUCA